This 330-nucleotide long non-coding RNA is filed under the name Vombatus ursinus (common wombat). RNAcentral's name for it is "lncRNA (ENSVURG00010012802.1)". Lineage: Eukaryota; Metazoa; Chordata; Mammalia; Diprotodontia; Vombatidae. The record is from RNAcentral.
CCUGCGGGCCCGUUGGGCUUUUUCUUCUCGGUGUGGCGGCGGCGCCUUCCGACUUCGUCCGUUGAGGCGGACCCCCCCCCUCGGACCCAGAGCAUCCCUGUCACUCCCGGAGGAGGAGGAGGAGGAGGAGGUGACCAUGGAGCGGCUGGGCCUGGACUGGAGGGGGAGAGCUCUGUCUUGUGAAAACGCCGCUGUCCGCCGAGAGAGGAACGUCCAUGAGGGGGAGGGAGCGACGGCGCCCAGGGGCCUAGCAGCCCCCUACCAGGUGAGUGGGGGCUUCCUUCCCACCUCGUUCUCUGGCUGUGGGCUCCUCGUCUUCCCCUUUCUGCC